This is a long non-coding RNA of Megalobrama amblycephala (Wuchang bream), 707 nucleotides long. RefSeq lists it as uncharacterized. The transcript is spliced from 3 exons. The record is from RefSeq and is a predicted model, not a curated record. Lineage: Eukaryota; Metazoa; Chordata; Actinopteri; Cypriniformes; Xenocyprididae.
UUUGUGUUUUGAAGAUUAAUGUCUUACGGGUCUGAAACGGCAUGAGGGUGAGUAAUAAAUGACAGAAUUUUCAUUUUUGGGUGAACUAACCCUUUAAAAGGCUCAGGAGGACAAACAGCUGCCAGAGGAGGAUGAUGAUGGCAGUGGUGACCGAGGUGACUGUGCAGCUCAGGAUGAAGAAGAGGAGGAACAUCUUCCAGUUUGCAAAAAUCCAAAGUGAAUAUAUAGAGACCAUCCUCCUAUCCUUGCCUCAGAAGAACCUGAGAAAGACCCUCUUCCUCUUCUCUCACAGCUCUCCAUCAUCUACCUCUACAACACUGUUGGCAAGAGUGUUAUACACAGCUGAGGACACGGUAAUGAGAGAUCUCAAAUUCUUCCUCAAAGUCCGCAUGUUCAUUUUCUUGAACAAAAACUGUACAUGUAUUUUUGGGUGGGCCAAACUAUUAUUUGAAGAAAUGCUAAAAAUCUCUAUAUUGUUCUUUGUACAUAUCUUUUACUCUUUAUGAAUGUCAUCUUCUGGAUUUUUUUUUUUAGCUUUUGAGAAGCUCAAGGACUGUAUAUCUUUGGUAAUUGUGAUAUUGUCUGGCAGUAAAGCAGUAUUAAAGCACAUUACCUCAGUAUAUUUGUAGCAGCUGCCUCAUACAGGACACUUAGGAAAUGGUUUAAUAUAUAUUUUUUGCAAAUAAAGUAAUAAAAUAUCUGCUGAA